This 497-nucleotide ribosomal RNA is filed under the name uncultured bacterium. RNAcentral describes it as "partial 16S ribosomal RNA". It matches the Rfam family "Bacterial small subunit ribosomal RNA", at positions 28 to 506 of the family's 1533-position model. The record is from RNAcentral.
GAUGAACGCUGGCGGCGUGCCUAAUACAUGCAAGUCGAGCGAACAGAUGAGGAGCCUGCUCCUCUGACGUUAGCGGCGGACGGGUGAGUAACACGUGGAUAACCUACCUAUAAGACUGGGAUAACUUCGGGAAACCGGAGCUAAUACCGGAUAAUAUAUUGAACCGCAUGGUUCAAUAGUGAAAGACGGUUUUGCUGUCACUUAUAGAUGGAUCCGCGCCGCAUUAGCUAGUUGGUAAGGUAACGGCUUACCAAAGCAACGGUGCGUAGCCGACCUGAGAGGGUGUGUCGGCCAAACUGGAACUGGGAACGGUCCCGGACCCCAAGGGGAGGCGGCAGUGGGAAACCUUCGGCAAGGGGCGAAAGCCUGACGGAGCAACGCCGCGGGGGUGAGGAAGUCCUUCGAAUCGUAAAACUUGUUUAUUGGGAAAAAACAAAUGGUUAAGUAACAAUGCAGGUCUGAACGGAACCAAAGCAAAAAGCCACGGCAACCUACGG